RNAcentral lists this non-coding RNA (181 nucleotides) under Bacillota bacterium. RNAcentral describes it as "6S RNA". It matches the Rfam family "6S / SsrS RNA". From Rfam's summary of the family: E. coli 6S RNA was the first non coding RNA to be sequenced, but its function was unknown until recently. The record is from RNAcentral. Lineage: Bacteria; Bacillati; Bacillota.
GAUACCCUGCUGUAAGCGUGAUGAAGCUGAAGUUAUGAACCAACACCAUUACCUAGGGAGUAUGACUCUGAUUGCGGCUUGUAGGCCUUCGCGGAAAGGACACAUAAAGCAAUCGGGCAUACACCCACCUGCGAGAGCGGGUUCAGGUAACAUUCAGCUAUAGCGGUACGGCGGGGUUCCU